GAUGAACGCUGGCGGCGUGCCUAAUACAUGCAAGUCGAGCGAACAGACGAGGAGCUUGCUCCUCUGACGUUAGCGGCGGACGGGUGAGUAACACGUGGAUAACCUACCUAUAAGACUGGGAUAACUUCGGGAAACCGGAGCUAAUACCGGAUAAUAUAUUGAACCGCAUGGUUCAAUAGUGAAAGACGGUUUUGCUGUCCCUUAUAGAUGGAUCCGCGCCGCAUUAGCUAGUUGGUAAGGUAACGGCUUACCAAGGCAACGAUGCGUAGCCGACCUGAGAGGGGGAUCGGCCACACGGGAACUGAGACACGGUCCAGACUCCUACGGGAGGCAGCAGUAGGGAAUCUUCCGCAAUGGGCGAAAGCCUGACGGAGCAACGCCGCGUGAGUGAUGAAGGUCUUCGGAUCGUAAAACUCUGUUAUUAGGGAAGAACAAAUGUGUAAGUAACUAUGCACGUCUUGACGGUACCUAAUCAGAAAGCCACGGCUAACUACGUG
RNAcentral lists this ribosomal RNA (497 nucleotides) under uncultured bacterium. Its description in RNAcentral is "partial 16S ribosomal RNA". It matches the Rfam family "Bacterial small subunit ribosomal RNA", at positions 28 to 507 of the family's 1533-position model. The record is from RNAcentral.